This 31-nucleotide non-coding RNA is filed under the name Rattus norvegicus (Norway rat). Lineage: Eukaryota; Metazoa; Chordata; Mammalia; Rodentia; Muridae. The record is from RNAcentral.
UUCUACCGCUGCUGCUAAGUAGCUGUGGCCC